AGAGGUUGUUUUUGGCUCAGGAUGAACGCUAGCGGCAGGCUUAACACAUGCAAGUCGAGGGGCAGCAUGUCCAGCAAUGGAUGAUGGCGACCGGCGGAAGGGUGCGUAACGCGUGAGCAACAUGCCCUAUACAGGGAGAUACACCAGGGAAACUUGGUCUAAUAUCCCAUAGCAUUCAUUGAAGGCAUCUUUAAUGAAUUAAAGCUUCGGUGGUAUAGGAUUGGCUCGCGUGACAUUAGCCAGAUGGUGAGGUAACGGCUCACCAUAGCAAUGAUGUCUAGGGGUUUUGAGAGGAAGGCCCCCCACACUGGGACUGAGACACGGCCCAUACUCCUACGGGAGGCAGCAGUAGGGAGUUUUCGGCAAUGGGGGGAACCCUGACCGAGCAAUGCCGCGUGAAUGAUGAAGGUCUUUGGAUCGUAAAGUUCUGUUGUCGCUAUGGAAAACCUAGAGGAGGAAAUGCCUUUAGCUUGACCUAGCUUCCAGAAAGCCACGGCUAACUACGUGCCAGCAGCCGCGGUAAUACGUAGGUGGCAAGCGUUAUCCGGAAUUAUUGGGCGUAAAGAGUGAGCAGGCGGCAGUUUAAGUCUGAAGUCAAAUGCAGUGGCUCAACCACUGUCCGCUUUGGAAACUGAACAGCUAGAGUACGAGAGAGGUAUGUGGAAUUCCAUGUGUAGCGGUGAAAUGCGUAGAUAUAUGGAGGAACACCAGAGGCGAAGGCGGCAUACUGGAUCGAUACUGACGCUCAGUCACGAAAGCGUGGGUAGAAAAUAGGAUUAGAUACCCUAGUAGUCCACGCCG
This 801-nucleotide ribosomal RNA is filed under the name uncultured bacterium. RNAcentral's name for it is "bacterial SSU rRNA". It matches the Rfam family "Bacterial small subunit ribosomal RNA", at positions 8 to 802 of the family's 1533-position model. The record is from RNAcentral.